ACAUACGACCACAGGCAGUGGAAAAUACUGGAUCCCGUCUGCUCUCCACACGUCAAGCCACUGACCGGCAGAUUAGUAGUUGAGUCGGUGACGAUCAGCGAACACCGGCUGUUGUAUGUU
Drechmeria coniospora is the source of this 120-nucleotide ribosomal RNA. Lineage: Eukaryota; Fungi; Ascomycota; Sordariomycetes; Hypocreales; Ophiocordycipitaceae. The record is from Rfam.